AUAUCUAGUUGAUCGUAUCAGUACUCAUAUGAUAGUCUCAUAGAAUAAACCAUGCAUGUGUAAGUGUAAAUAUAAUAGUUUGGAUCUGAGAAUGGAUCAUUAUAUCAGUUAUAGUUUAUUUGGUGAAGUGUAGUAUUUGGAUAGCAGUAGUAAUUUUAGGGUUAAUACAUGAGAAAGUCCUAUUGUGAGGUGUGUUUAUUAGAAUGAAAACCAUAUUAUUUGUCAUGAUAUUGAGUAAUAGUAACCUAUAGUAUUGCAUUAUUAAUGUAUAGAUGAGUCUUUCAAGUUUUUGCCCUAUCUCCUUUUUAUGGUAGUAUAUGGUCGUCCCACGGCACUAUCGGGUAUCGAAGAAUUUGGGUUUUAUUUUUGAGAGGGAGCCUGAGAGAUGUCUCCCACAUCCACGGAAGACAGCAGGGGCGUAAAUUUUCCAAUCUCGUCACACGGAGGUAGUGACAAUAUAUCUCAAUAUGGGGCUAUCUGUUUUGCAAUUGGAUUGAGAAAAGGGUACAACUCUUAUCGAUAAGCCAUUGGAGGGCAAGUCUGGUGCCAGCAGCCGCUGGUAAUGCUAGCCUCCCAAACCGC
RNAcentral lists this ribosomal RNA (582 nucleotides) under Blastocystis sp. Its description in RNAcentral is "SSU rRNA". It matches the Rfam family "Eukaryotic small subunit ribosomal RNA", at positions 1 to 600 of the family's 1831-position model. The record is from RNAcentral. Lineage: Eukaryota; Bigyra; Opalinata; Blastocystidae.